This 85-nucleotide transfer RNA is filed under the name Sphingomonas sp. Its description in RNAcentral is "tRNA-Leu". It matches the Rfam family "tRNA". Rfam says of the family: Transfer RNA (tRNA) molecules are approximately 80 nucleotides in length. Their secondary structure includes four short double-helical elements and three loops (D, anti-codon, and T loops). Further hydrogen bonds mediate the characteristic L-shaped molecular structure. tRNAs have two regions of fundamental functional importance: the anti-codon, which is responsible for specific mRNA codon recognition, and the 3' end, to which the tRNAs corresponding amino acid is attached (by aminoacyl-tRNA synthetases). tRNAs cope with the degeneracy of the genetic code in two manners: having more than one tRNA (with a specific anti-codon) for a particular amino acid; and 'wobble' base-pairing, i.e. permitting non-standard base-pairing at the 3rd anti-codon position. RNAcentral also lists the same sequence under 9 other names. The record is from RNAcentral. Lineage: Bacteria; Pseudomonadati; Pseudomonadota; Alphaproteobacteria; Sphingomonadales; Sphingomonadaceae.
GCGGGCGUGGUGGAAUUGGUAGACGCGCCGGACUCAAAAUCCGGUUCCGCAAGGAGUGUGGGUUCGAUUCCCACCGCCCGCACCA